UUAAGUUCCUUAAAUUCAAAGAAUUUGGCGGUAAUUAAGUCUUUUUAGAGGAACCUGUUCUUUAAUUGAUAAUCCACGAUUGAUUUUACUUUAAUUUUAUUUGUAUACCUCUGUCAAUGAAUGUAUUUUAAGAUUAAUUUUCUUUAUUUUUUGUAAAUGGAUGUUAGGUCAAGGUGCAGUCAUUUUAAAGUAGAAAUGGGUUACUAUAAUAAUUUUUGGAUAUUUAUUUUGAAAUUUUUAAUUGAAAUAGGAUUUAAUAGUAAUUUUUUUAAAAUAAAAAUUUUGAUUUAGGCUCUUAAUUAU
RNAcentral lists this ribosomal RNA (303 nucleotides) under Hindola borneensis. RNAcentral's name for it is "partial 12S ribosomal RNA". Lineage: Eukaryota; Metazoa; Arthropoda; Insecta; Hemiptera; Machaerotidae. The record is from RNAcentral.